UGGGGAAUUUUGGACAAUGGGCGAAAGCCUGAUCCAGCAAUGCCGCGUGUGUGAAGAAGGCCUUCGGGUUGUAAAGCACUUUUGUCCGGAAAGAAAUCCUUGGCUCUAAUACAGUCGGGGGAUGACGGUACCGGAAGAAUAAGCACCGGCUAACUACGUGCCAGCAGCCGCGGUAAUACGUAGGGUGCAAGCGUUAAUCGGAAUUACUGGGCGUAAAGCGUGCGCAGGCGGUUUGCUAAGACCGAUGUGAAAUCCCCGGGCUCAACCUGGGAACUGCAUUGGUGACUGGCAGGCUAGAGUAUGGCAGAGGGGGGUAGAAUUCCACGUGUAGCAGUGAAAUGCGUAGAGAUGUGGAGGAAUACCGAUGGCGAAGGCAGCCCCCUGGGCCAAUACUGACGCUCAUGCACGAAAGCGUGGGGAGCAAACAGGAUUAGAUACCCUGGUAGUCCACGCCCUAAACGAUGUCAACUAGUUGUUGGGGAUUCAUUUCCUUAGUAACGUAGCUAACGCGUGAAGUUGACCGUCUGGGGAGUACGGUCGCAAGAUUAAAACUUAAAGGAAUUG
Molecule: ribosomal RNA, 564 nt
Filed under: uncultured bacterium
Lineage: Bacteria
Description: partial 16S ribosomal RNA
Rfam family: Bacterial small subunit ribosomal RNA
Source: RNAcentral